CCUACGGGUGGCAGCAGUGGGGAAUAUUGCGCAAUGGGCGAAAGCCUGACGCAGCGACGCCGCGUGAGGGAUGAAGGUCUUCGGAUCGUAAACCUCUGUCAGCAGGGAAGAACGGUCACUGUGCUAAUCAGCAGUGAAUUGACGGGACCUGCAAGGGAAGCACCGGCUAACUCCGUGCCAGCAGCCGCGGUGAUACGGAGGAGGCGAGCGUUAAUCGGAUUUACUGGGCGGAAAGGGCGCGUAGACGGGAUGUCAAGUCAAGAGUGAAAUCCCCGGGCUCAACCUCGGAACUGCAUUUGAAACUGGGCAGCUGGAGUGUGUGAGAGGUAAGUGGAAUUCCUGGUGUAGCGGUGAAAUGCGUAGAUAUUUGGAGGAACAUCAGUGGCGAAGGCGGCUAUCUGGACCAUAACUGACGCUGAGGCGCGAAAGCGUGGGGAGCAAACAGGAUUAGAUACCCCUGUAGUC
Molecule: ribosomal RNA, 465 nt
Filed under: uncultured bacterium
Lineage: Bacteria
Description: partial 16S ribosomal RNA
Rfam family: Bacterial small subunit ribosomal RNA
Source: RNAcentral